AAACAUGGCUCUUUGAAACUUUUUUAUAGAGAGUCGAACCUGCCCAGUGAUGUAAUAUAUUUAACGGCCGCAGUACCCUGACUGUGCAAAGGUAGCAUAAUCAUUUGCCCUAUAAUUGAGGGCUAGUAUGAAUGGUUUGACAAGAACAUAGCUGUCUCUUACAAAAUAAAUAUAAAUUAAAUUUUAGGUGAAGAUGCCUAAAUAUAACUAAAAGACGAGAAGACCCUGUUGAGCUUUAAAAAUUUACAGGACUAUUACCUUAAAAUUUUUUUGGUUGGGGCGACCUAAGAACAUAUGAAGCUUCUUUUAUUAAAAAAGGUACUUAACAAUGAUCCAGUAUAACUGAUUAAUUAAAUAAGCUACCACAGGGAUAACAGCGUAAUUUUCUUUAAGAGUUCAUAUCAAAAAGAAAGUUUGCGACCUCGAUGUUGGACUAAAAUAUCCUAAAGGUGCAGAUGUCUUUAAGGGUUGGUCUGUUCGACCAUUAAAAUUUUA
Molecule: ribosomal RNA, 495 nt
Filed under: Pusillina inconspicua
Lineage: Eukaryota; Metazoa; Mollusca; Gastropoda; Littorinimorpha; Rissoidae
Description: partial 16S ribosomal RNA
Rfam family: Bacterial large subunit ribosomal RNA
Source: RNAcentral